This is a long non-coding RNA of Phyllopteryx taeniolatus (common seadragon), 1144 nucleotides long. RefSeq lists it as uncharacterized. The transcript has 4 exons. The record is from RefSeq and is a predicted model, not a curated record. NCBI's taxonomy places the organism in Eukaryota, Metazoa, Chordata, Actinopteri, Syngnathiformes, Syngnathidae.
UUGGGGUGUUGCUUGUUUUGGCUGAGUGUGGCUACAUAGUUAGCUUUAGUAGAACUACAUUGCUAGGUAGGGGUGUACUUGGUUUGGGUCCGACAGAAGAGGUUGUGAAUACCAGGGAAGAUUCUGGAGACCACACAGUUAGCGUUAGGGUGCUCCAUUGAAGUCUGGGAAGCUAACUGGCUAGCCUGGGAGCGCCUACACGUUUAACCCGGGAAUGAAGUGACUACUCGGCUUUGGAAGAGAGUUCACUCGGUCGUUCGUGGUGGUGGUGGUGGUAGUAGUAGUAGGGUGCUGUUGUUGGUUUUGGAAACUUUGACACUAACGUGGUACCGAAUUUGUCGAACAACCGGGUAUAGCUCGGCGGUUCUAAAGGCGAGCGGAGGCCGACUAUCGAUGCCAAUAUUGGGGUUGGAAUAAGAAAGGAGGAGAACAAGAAGAAGCUUGGCCACGCAACGCUCCGAUACAAAGUGUGGCCAUUAAAAGAAGGCAAUAGCGAACCCUGGCGAGACUCCCCUCGCCUCAGGACGUUCGAGUUCAGCUAUCGAGCGUCACGUCGGCCGCGAGGAACGCAUGUCACGUCUCACCAUUAAAACUUUGGCAGCACUUUCCAGCUGGCUGAUGACUUCUGCCGUACCGAGCGCCGCCAUCAUUGAUGCCGGGCCCUCGAAGAUGACGCGAUCGCGGUUCACGGCAUUAUGGGUAACACACUUCACACUUCAGCCCUCCCCGAGGAAAACAAAACAUUUCACCCCCGGCCGCAUGCAGACUCGUCAAGUGGCAGCUGGUGCUUGUUGGUCCCGUGCGAGGAGGGCGUCAGUCCAAGGGGAGUCCAUCAGUGACAGGAGUGAAAGUGAUUGAACCCCGGUCCUCGGAACUGUGAGGCUGACGCUCUAACCAGUCACCCACCGUGCCGCCGAAAUGGCCAAUAAAAAUGGAAAAACACUAAUGAGAGAGCCUGAAGAGGAGGAUGCUAUUCAUGUGGCACAGCUUGAAGCAGGCACCAGGAGCCGGUGAGGAUGGGCCUGGCUCAAGUUGGAGGCCAAAACAAAAAAGCAAAGAAAUGCAGCAAAUUUUAUUUUAAUCUUAAAUUUGUACAUCAACAUGUACUUGCGUGGUAUAAAUAAAUGUUUCUCUGCAUGAAGAA